ACAUAGCCUUGCCAAGCCCUGACUCACUUCCGCUCUCGCCCUCUUCUCCCCUCUGCCCACCACCCGCCUCGCUCCUCGUCAGCUGUGCUGCGCAGUGUCGACCGCCUUAUCGCUCUUUCUCCCGUUCACAUCCGUGUUGCCCUUGUCUGCUUUCGGCGUUGCGGAGCCGCGCAAAUGGCGUGCAACAUCAGUAUUGCCAUCUACAUCAUCCUCCAGUUCAUCGCGUUCUUUUUCGUGCUGGUGGGUACGCCGCUCGACAUGUUUCGCGGCACGAACAAGGAGGUUGCGUUCUCGCAUUUCUGCUUGACGUUGUGGGGCGCAAAAUGGGGCUGCUCCAACAGUUCGUACUUUCUCAAGUCGGACGAGGUGUGGACGAAUUGUACGGGCCGCCGCAACCGCUUCCGCGCUGCUCAGGCAUUGGCUGUGAUCUCCAUCUUCCUGUAUGGCGCGGCGUUCGUCUUGGGCAUCUUUUUUCUGCUCUGCUGCCCUUUCUUUCGCUGGGUGUGCCUGGUUCUCAACAUCGUUGGCAUCUUCUCCUUGGGCAUUGUCUGGGCGGCCGUGGUGUUGACUCACUACGCAGAUGAGGAUGACCAUUGCCCCAAGAUGGAGCGCUUCUUUAAGUUGGGCGUCGGCUUCGCUUUCUUCUUGGUGGCCUGGUGCCUGGAUAUCAUCAACAUCUUCUUAUUGAUGAUCCGGUGCGAGGAUCAGAAGUUUGGCGAGAGUGGGAAUCCGGGAUUAUAUACAACAGGCGGACAGGAGGAACUGAAGUGAAGGAGGUGGCGGGCAAACUACUUCGGCUCCGCGGGCUUCUCCGUACAGACGCCAUGGGGUGGGGGAUCCGGCGGAGCUGAUGUCUGCGCGAGAAGGGAGGGAAGACGCGGACUCUCGUCGCUGCUUCUCGCCGCCUCACCUCUCGCGCUGCCGUCUCUCGCGUGUGUGCGUCCUCCCACGCGCGUCUGCUUGGGGGGCUUUUCGGCUUCCUCGCGUGCAAGGUAACCUGCGCUGUGUGGUGGGCAACGCACGCCUGGCGCCGGCAGGCCCACCCACGCCCCGUUCCCCCCCCUGAGCCCCUCGCCCUCGCUGCCGUGUCGGAGUCGCCCGUCUGACGCUCGCCCGGCGCUCCGUUGGCGAUGUGAAGGAGCGAAGGACGACGCGGGACGGUGACACGUGCGCUGCAGGCCUGGAAACGGCGGCGUGGAGGGGGAGCGAAGGAGGGGCAGGUGACCGAGGUGGACACGGAGGACAAACGUGGCGGUGUGGAGAAACGGACGCCCUCGCACGGAGGACGGGAGGCGCCACGCCACGCUGCAUCGGUCGCCCGCCCCCUCCACACCCCGCAGUCGCGAUGGCGCGUCUUCCUGGUGUGUCUCCCUCGCGCCGCCUUUGGCCCCCGUCGCUGCCGCUGCGACUCCCCCGCGCCCCUGGCGGCACACCCGCGAGGGGAAGAGGCAGCACAGCGGCGCGAAGAUGCAGGCCGAGCACAGUCUCCCCCGCACCCCCCCCCCUCCACACGCACGCGCAUAUGCUGCCGUUUUUUUUGUUUCUCUUUCCGUGUUUUCGCUUCGUUUGACAUUCGCAUGUUUCUUUUGAUUUCUCUCGUUUUCGUCUCUCUCCCUAUGCAGAGAAGAGCCGCAUGGACGUGUGCGUGUGCGUGCCCCUCUGCCGUUUUCCCGUUGUGUCUCCGUGCCGCUGCCCUGCUCCUCGUCUUCCCCGCCCCCUCCCUGCGCGCGUGUGUGUGUGCGAGGGCGGCUGAUCGAGGGGACGACGAGGUGGAGAGCAGCCGCGGCACCGCAGCGCUGGGGAUACAUGGGGAGUGUGCAGGAGCAGCGGAGGAGAGGCACGCACACGCACUCUGGCAAGGGAGCGAUGACGCGGAGGCCGCAGGGGAAUACGCAGCGGAGCGAGUGGGUACGGAGGCGGAGCGGAGGCGAGGCAGUGUUGCUUCUCUGUUCGCCCCGCUUGCGUUCGACUCGAGUGUGUCUGCGUGUGCGUCCCCUGCGGCCCUCGGGCCCCUCGCCUCUCUUGCGCGCUUCGCUUCGUUUGUUUCGUUGCUGUGGCUGUCUAACUACACUUUCGAGUCGGCCAGAGUCCCGUGUGGAGAUUAUUCACACCAUAUUACGGCAUGCGGCGGCUUGAGGCGACCGAGGGAGGGGCAUGGCGUGCAGGCGGAGCACAAGGUGUCAGAGGGCCCUGGCCUGCGGCUGGCCCACCUCCUCUCUGUGCUCAUGCGGCACGCGCCUACACCAGCCCCUGCGGCCAGCACGGCUGACGUCGCCGCCUCCGCCCUCGAGGAGGAAGCCUGGCCGCGGCCUGCCUGGACCGAUGCAUGCCGCCCACCCGGGUCUGCGUCUGGCGCCGCUAGCGCCGCAGGUGCCCGAGGAAUGGACGAGCAAAGACAAGGCGGGCCGCUAGCGGCAUGGCUCGAUACCCCAGCAGACGACUUGUCUUCGCCGGCGCGGAUGUAGCCGUGGUGCAACAGAGGGGCGUGUGAGCUGUGCGCGAAUGCGUACAUGUGCCGACUUGCCCGUCGCGGAGUAAGAUUUUUAUAUUUAAAUACGCUGUUUUUCCUGGCAAACACGCGUAGCAGAAACUAGUAAGUGCAGCGGCAUGGCGACGAGUAUACAUAUACACUAUACACAUAUGUCUAUCUGUAUCUAGAGCGCUGCACCGUCAAUCCGUCAAAACGCCACGCACUUUGUUUUCCCCGCCGACCACCGCCCCCUGUGCUCGCCCGAGCGGGCGGAGCGCGUGCGCGUGCGUCCCUCUCUCCUCGCGCUUCUCCGUUGCUUGCUUUUUGCUUUCUGUCAUUAUUGUCUCCGUUCCUCGACUGACUCACCCCAACAGCGUCACCGCCGCCGUUGCCGCCCCAUCUUCUCCGAGAGGGGAGGAGCAGGGGGAGCGCCGAGCAUGCUUUUUCUCUUAUUAUCCCGCUGAUGUAUUUCGUGUCUAGCGGAGAUUGCGUUUUCGGGUGUUGGUGUGGGGGUGGCGGUGUGUGUGUGUGCUCUCUCUCGUUGCCUAUGUUGAGUAUUGAUAAUCGUGGAAAGGCUAGGCUUGUGCAGAGUUCAAGUGAAAGGUGAACAGCAACAAUAGCAUAAAAAAAGAUCGUUGCAGGAUGUAAAUAAGUUUAUUGCGAAACCAUGAAAAGGGAGUGCAGGCAUAUAGUGUGUAAUGCGAGAAGUGUGUGUCUCGGGGGAGUCCCCCUUUUUUUCCUCGGAACUAAAAAAAUAGUUUACACAGGUGGCGACAAUAGCUGCUGAAAAACAGGGAAGAAAGUUGUUUUCAAGUAGUAGGAGCCUGCGUCUGCGCGUCGUUCUCUGUGUUUCUCUCUUUUCGGCUUGAGCGUCCUUAUAGUAUAUAUAUAUAUAUAUACAUAUGAGGUAGUUGUUUAACCGUUUUGCUGUCCGCAUUCAUGUGGCUUUUCGCUGUCUCCUUUUUUUUUCCUUGUUUGUGAGGAUGUUGUUCGCCUACGCAGGACAGUGGCAGAAAGCGGAACAACGAAGAAAAAGCACUGAUGAAGGGAAGAGCGACACGGGCGAGGGGAGACGCCGAGAAAAGACGAACACUUAACGAAGAGAGCAAAUAGGCUGACCUAUGAUCCUUUCACCCCUCCCCCUCUCCUUACUUCCUCAAAGAAAGCUGAAAACAUACACCUGCCCAAGGGAAUGGACCAAGCUAGAGACGAUGCCGCUGCAGACAUGUGUGCCUGUAGCGAAUGGAGAGAAAAUGGUAGUGGAAGGUAGAAAGGGAAGAGGAGUGAAGCUAUCUAGCAAGGAAAGACGGAGGCGAUCGGGCGGAUGGUGGACUUUUGCUUGUGCAUGUGUGGUCGGGUGGGGAGAAAGCCGAGGAAAUAGGCGAGGAGCAGGGGAGGGGGGGACGGAAAAGGAGCGGCCAUCAUGCUGCUUCAUCUCCCUGCCUGUUUGCUUCCUCUGUCUUCCUGUUUCUUUCCCCCUUGCGCACUUUGCCCCCUACACCUCCUCACGUCUGCUUUCGCUCGCGCCGCAGUGUUCGAGACCUCUCCUUUCACCUAACCUUGGCUCCCGCGUACUCCUUCCCUUUUCUCUCUAUGCGGUGUCGCAUUUUCGUUCGAAGAUGUGGAACACAUGCUCACGCCUCUCUGCACGGCUUUGAAGCCCCUCCUUGUAUCUCUCUUUUCGCAUCUUCUUUCUCCUCUUUCUCCACACGUGCGUACGUUUCGUGAUGGCGCUCUUUCACACGAAUCUCUCUCUAUCGUUACACCAUGAACGUGCAUGCACUCCCCCUCUCCCCCUUGCCAUGUACUCAUUCAAUGCACCAUCCUACACUUACGUAUUGGGCGUCUCCCAG
Molecule: unclassified non-coding RNA, 4323 nt
Filed under: Leishmania donovani
Lineage: Eukaryota; Euglenozoa; Kinetoplastea; Trypanosomatida; Trypanosomatidae
Description: gene:LdHU3.34.1690(CDS-product:amastin-like_surfa ce_protein_putative)
Source: RNAcentral